This 982-nucleotide long non-coding RNA is filed under the name Nicotiana tabacum (common tobacco). RNAcentral describes it as "long non-coding RNA (NTAB_LNC013049)". Lineage: Eukaryota; Viridiplantae; Streptophyta; Magnoliopsida; Solanales; Solanaceae. The record is from RNAcentral.
CCAAUCCCAAAUCCUUCUUCUCCAAAGACAAGUAAGCAAGCAAAUGGAAUGUACAAGUAAAUGGAAAAUUAGUAUAAUACUCCAUAGAAACUCAAUAUACAUAUUUUCCCAUCUCUCACGAUCUUCUUCUCCACUUUUUAUCAAAGCAAUGGGAGACAACUUUGUUCCACACAUUGAGUCUGAUUCAGCUUUAAAUUAAUUAAAUUUGCUUCUGCUUUCUUUUUCUUCUGAGUUGCGUGUCUGGUUCUGAGAAGUUUGAGGAAGGCAUAAAGAGUUCGAAAGCUGACUGUGAUUACGCGUUUGAAGCCCUUUGCGUUUGAUGCUUCCGUAUAAAGGUAUUUUAUUUUUUAAUAACCAUAACUUUGUGGUUGAUGUAUCUACUUUGUGCAUAUUGAGCUGUUGAAUGUGUCUGUUGUUGCAUGUCUUGCCGCCUGCGAGGUGUUUGAUUUUUUGCUCAGUAGAGUGAUGUUUUUACUAUGUUCAGUUUCACUCUUUUAACUUUAGUUUUUAUGCAUAAUCUUUGCGUUCUUCUUGCACAGAACUUCUCUACCUUUCCUAUGUGUCAAAAUGUAAAGCCUUUUACUAGUAUAAAUGAGAAAUUCAAACCCGGAUGACAAAGGAUCUGCAUAGUACAGGAUUGUGUGGCUAUUAUAUACUAGCUGAAAUAUUGCUCAGUAUUUUGGAGUUGAAGUAUUCUGCAAGUUGAGAUUUAAGGUAGUGCAUAUGACAGGGAAUGAGAGAAUGAAGAAGAAGAUAUUUGCUUUAUUUGACUUUGGAUCCGUGGAUAAACAUGUUUUGAUAAUGGUUCCAAAUCCAGAUUCUGCAUGAUAAUCUUCUAGGUGAAUAUCACUUUGCUGCGAUAUUUUAAAUGGGCGUACAAGCAUCAGUUAGAAAAUUACCAUAAUCUUCUUUUUUCUUAAAUGAGAAUUUGAAUGACUUAAUUGGAAACUUGAAACUUUGAAAUCAUCAGGUAUUAAAAAAG